Molecule: ribosomal RNA, 1346 nt
Filed under: uncultured bacterium
Lineage: Bacteria
Description: partial 16S ribosomal RNA
Rfam family: Bacterial small subunit ribosomal RNA
Source: RNAcentral
GACGAACGCUGGCGGCGUGCUUAACACAUGCAAGUCGAACGGAAAGGCCCUGCUUUUGUGGGGUGCUCGAGUGGCGAACGGGUGAGUAACACGUGAGUAACCUGCCCUUGACUUUGGGAUAACUUCAGGAAACUGGGGCUAAUACCGGAUAGGAGCUCCUGCUGCAUGGUGGGGGUUGGAAAGUUUCGGCGGUUGGGGAUGGACUCGCGGCUUAUCAGCUUGUUGGUGGGGUAGUGGCUUACCAAGGCUUUGACGGGUAGCCGGCCUGAGAGGGUGACCGGCCACAUUGGGACUGAGAUACGGCCCAGACUCCUACGGGAGGCAGCAGUGGGGAAUAUUGCACAAUGGGCGGAAGCCUGAUGCAGCAACGCCGCGUGCGGGAUGACGGCCUUCGGGUUGUAAACCGCUUUCGCCUGUGACGAAGCGUGAGUGACGGUAAUGGGUAAAGAAGCACCGGCUAACUACGUGCCAGCAGCCGCGGUGAUACGUAGGGUGCGAGCGUUGUCCGGAUUUAUUGGGCGUAAAGGGCUCGUAGGUGGUUGAUCGCGUCGGAAGUGUAAUCUUGGGGCUUAACCCUGAGCGUGCUUUCGAUACGGGUUGACUUGAGGAAGGUAGGGGAGAAUGGAAUUCCUGGUGGAGCGGUGGAAUGCGCAGAUAUCAGGAGGAACACCAGUGGCGAAGGCGGUUCUCUGGGCCUUUCCUGACGCUGAGGAGCGAAAGCGUGGGGAGCGAACAGGCUUAGAUACCCUGGUAGUCCACGCUGUAAACGGUGGGUACUAGGUGUGGGGUCCAUUCCACGGGUUCCGUGCCGUAGCUAACGCUUUAAGUACCCCGCCUGGGGAGUACGGCCGCAAGGCUAAAACUCAAAGGAAUUGACGGGGCCCCGCACAAGCGGCGGAGCAUGCGGAUUAAUUCGAUGCAACGCGUAGAACCUUACCUGGGUUUGACAUGGAUCGGGAGUGCUCAGAGAUGGGUGUGCCUCUUUUGGGGUCGGUUCACAGGUGGUGCAUGGCUGUCGUCAGCUCGUGUCGUGAGAUGUUGGGUUAAGUCCCGCAACGAGCGCAACCCUUGUUCACUGUUGCCAGCACGUUAUGGUGGGGACUCAGUGGAGACCGCCGGGGUCAACUCGGAGGAAGGUGGGGAUGACGUCAAGUCAUCACGCCCCUUAUGUCCAGGGCUUCACGCAUGCUACAAUGGCUGGUACAGAGAGUGGCGAGCCUGUGAGGGUGAGCGAAUCUCGGAAAGUCGGUCUCAGUUCGGAUUGGGGUCUGCAACUCGACCUCAUGAAGUCGGAGUCGCUAGUAAUCGCAGAUCAGCAACGCUGCGGUGAAUACGUUCCCGGGGCU